CUCUGUUCAUUUGGUAGAUACUAACCAUGUGUGGUUUCAUACAUGACUAGAGUGACAGGAAUUUCUAAUAUUAUUUAAUUAUUAUUAAUUUAAAUUUAAAUAAAGCAUAUAUGGCUAUUGGAUAUGUUAUUGGACAGUGACAACACUAGAGGUUCUUAUAAAUUACUUCACUAACUCUCAAUUUACAGAGGUUAUAUAUUUGUAAGUAUUCUGAAAGACUCUGAAUUAUAGAUAUAUAUGGGGUAUUAAAAAUCUUUAUUAAAUAUGAUAUUUAUUUAUUCAUUUUCUUACAAUGGCUACCUCUGUGGCCAUGUAUUCUUUAAAUAAACAUAAGGGGAAAUUUCCUUCUAAAACACGUUAUAAUUUUUACAUGAAAAAACACUUUUUUGUGUUUUUAUGUAUUGCAUAUGGAAACAAAAAUAACAAAAAGUUACCAACAAAAUCAGUUUGAAAUAAUAAACCUGAUGUAGGCACUAACACAUCUAUUAACCAUGCUAUAAUUGUAUGCAAUUGCAAUCACUGAAAUUUAAUGUCUCUUGUCUUAUACUCUCAGGAUUUAUGCUUCUGAUAAUAAUCAAAUAUAUUGUAUAUAGAUCAUGUGUAGCAUGCAGACUAAUUUUUCAUGAAUCAAAUAAAGAAAGGUUGCCAAAGUGAGAGACAAACAUUUGGACCUUAACUCACAUUUUCAAAGAAAAUGUCAGGAUAUAUUAAACUUACGUGCCUGAUCAAUAGUAACAUUUUUCUCUGUAGAUAUGUGAUACUAAUUGAUAGCAGACACACAUCAGACAUAGAGGAGCCAAAAACAACAAUUAUUAUCAUAAAAAUUCUUUAGAGACAAUGGCUUAGGGGGAGCUAAUGGAGCAGUUAAUGUAUUUGCUUGUCACUCCCUCCCUGAGCCAAUUUGUAAGAUCCCAUCUGCUGGGCAGUUGGGAUUUGCAGUGUCUUUCUACUAGCCUAAAGGUUAAGGAGAAGAAAUAAAAAAAAUAAAUAAAAUCAUAAGAAUUAUGGCUUUUAAGUAUGUCAGAUCCAUGGGUCCAGGAAAACAUGAACACAAGUCUAUUGCUACUAAGCAGGUAUCUCAUUCCUCCUUUUGGGGGGAAAAUUACUAAAGAAUAUGCACCAGAUCAGGGACAAUUACACUAAAAACAUCCUUAUACAUGGAAAUAAGGGAUAUUAUGGGUUCAAUUGUGCCCCCUGUGUCAAUGAUGACAUCCUAAUUCCCAGUACCUCAAAAUAUAGCCCUAUUUGGAAGUAGAGUCUUUAGAGUGUGGCCAUUAGAAUGGGCCCUAAUCCAAUAUGAUUGGGUCCUGAUAAAAAUGGGGAAUUUGGACACAGAAAUAGACACAAAGAGAGAAGACAACCUGAAUGACAGAGCAAGUGCAAAAUGAAGAUUCAUGUUAUGCUGCCAUAAAUCAAGGUAUAUCUGAGGCUGCAAGAAGCUGCACAGGGCAAGGAAGUACCCUUUCCCAGCACAUUCAGAAGGCACAUGUCACUGCCUACACCUUAAUAGUGGAUUUUAGCCUCCAGAAUUCUGAGACAGUAAGUCUUUUGUUAUACAGAAGCCCUCAGAUACUAAUAAAGAAGUCAAGCCCAACUUCCCUAUGGCCAAAGAAAAAUGUUAUACUUUUUGAAUAGUAAACAAAACAUAAACUAGGUUGUUCAAGAUGCAAACAUUAAAUACUUUUGGAAGCAACUUUAUCAAAAGCAUAUUUCAAACAAUUUUCACUAGGAGUUACUUUGAUUCUUCUCUUUGCUGUCAUGUUUUUAUGAAGCUUGCAAAAGGUAUAAUGGUUGUAGCCUGGUCUCUUGCUUACCCAUGAAUUAACCACCAUGAUUACAUCUUUACCCUUGGAAAUGCUAAAAAGAGUUAGCCUACCAGAAUGAUAGAGUGUAACUCAUUUGUUUGGAGUAUUUCAGGUAGAGUUGAAUUAUGCUGCUCUAGCCUAUGGGUGCUUUCUAAAGAUGGCAGAACAAGUGGUCCCUACUUAAUGACGUCUCAUCCAAUCAGAGAAACAAGAUGGUAAAAAUGGAAGGAAUAAGAGGAAUUAUGGCAAUUUUAGCAGUCUUUAAGUUUUGAAUAUUCUCUAAUGUCUCACAUUCUAAAUUAUAUCCCCUUGACCCCAUGUAACUUUCUAGUUCUUGAACCAUUUCUCUAGUGCUCUUCAUAGUUAAACUAAAAAGACUAUUUGCCAGCACAUGCUGUCCCCACUUUCAAAAUUCCAAUUACUAUAUAAUUGAAUGCAAUCAGGCCUGUGCCAUGACAACUAUUGAAACUAUUUGUCAAAAUCACAGUAUUGUCAAGUAAUCUUUCCUUAUGAUGGACAAUAAAAUAUGGUAAGAUUUAGUUCCCAAUUAAAUUAACAAUCUCAUUUCAUCCCAUUGUAUUUCUCAUUCCUUCAAAUCAAAUACACUGGACUCCUAUUUGUUUUAUCUAACAUAAAAAAAUUUCUCUUCUGUUUCUAAAAUGGACUUCACAUGGAGGCUCUUUCUCAGCUUUCAGAUUUGGCUCAUAUGUCAGUCACUGCAGUGAGUCCUUACUAAUCAAUAGAAAAUUGAAGGCCUUUUCUUUCUUCCUUUUCGUCAUUGUUCUUUAAUCAUUUCCUUCCCUUUUACUACAACUUGCAGUUAUAUAUUUGUUUUCUUAUUAAUAUUUUAUGACUCCUAUUAUAUUGUAAACCACACAGGUUCAGAAUGUACAUUCUUUCAAAAAACAAUAUAACCCUAGUUCUUAUCCCAUUGGAUGGUAUAUGAUAUAGUAAUAUUUAUUUAUUAAAUAGGUAUAUGCUCUUUUCUUCUAGCUGCCAUUAACUUAUGUUAGUUCUAUCAACUGCCAUCUCUGUGUUGCUAAAUUACAAAUUUCACAUUUGGAGGGAAGACAGUUCUAUGUAAUCUAUUAUCAAGCUGUGUGGUCAAAGGGUACAGUUCACGUAAAGGGGAUGUGACCUACAUGUUAGGUUCUUCUGGAGAAAAGAGAAAUGUUGCUAGCCAGAAAGUGUCCAAAAUGAGUGAUAACAAAUACAGUUUGGAAAUUUUCUACAAGAAAAGAUUAAAUGUAGGUAAGGACCUACCCCUACCUUUAAAAAUGACUAUCUGGGAGUUCCCGUUGUGGCGCAGUGGUUAACGAAUCCGACUAGGAACCACGAGGUUGCAGGUUCGGUCCCUGCCCUUGCUCAGUGGGUUAACGAUCCGGUGUUGCCGUGAGCUCUGGUGUAGGUUGCAGAUGUGGCUCGGAUCUCGAGUUGCUGUGGCUCUGGCGUAGGCCGGUGGCUAAAGUUCCGAUUCGACCCCUAGCCUGGGAACCUCCAUAUGCCGCUGGAACAGCCCAAGAAAUU
This 3332-nucleotide long non-coding RNA is filed under the name Sus scrofa (pig). RNAcentral's name for it is "lncRNA (ENSSSCG00000058726.1)". Lineage: Eukaryota; Metazoa; Chordata; Mammalia; Artiodactyla; Suidae. The record is from RNAcentral.